Long non-coding RNA from Triticum dicoccoides, 876 nucleotides. RefSeq lists it as uncharacterized. The transcript has 2 exons. NCBI's taxonomy places the organism in Eukaryota, Viridiplantae, Streptophyta, Magnoliopsida, Poales, Poaceae. The record is from RefSeq and is a predicted model, not a curated record.
CGAAAGAUUUUGCUGGGCUGCUUCGUGAGUGAAGCCGCGGCUCCCGUCCGUGCCGGCGGCGGGCGGCGCGACGGCGACGCGCAGGGCCGCCCCCCAGCUUCUGCGCCCCGGGGCGGCAGAACCUCUACGCAUCGGACGAACGCAGGGGCUAUCUAGGGAGAAAUGCUAGUUGUACAAACUAGUGUUCUAGUUGCAUCCACAUUGUCUCUUUCAGCAAGCCAAGAUCUCUCGUUCAUUUGAUGAGGGGAGCUGUGUGGUGCUCAAUCUAUUGCCUAAGCCGAGAUAUAUUGGCACCUGAAAGAUCCUAGCUUGCAGCUCGACGGACGGGCUGGUACAGAAGGGGACAGGGAAAGGGGAAGAGACAACGUGUGUGUCCAGGAAUAUUCACCCAAUUGAGUGACUCUACGAGGCUGAAGAUGUAAAAUGUUCCUGCAACCAUCUUGUCCUACAUCUCGUCCAUUUGUUGUCCACCCAGCGGCCCAUAAUCAACUGAUGCAUCUGGUGUACCCAUUGAUGCGUUGCACAUGAUACACUCUUCUCGGCACUCCCUUGCCUUCUAUAUGCCAAAGGAUUUUUCUUCUUCUGCUCUGAUGAUAGUAUAUUAUUGUGUUUCUUUAUUAAUUUUUAUUGGACCAUUUGAAAUGAACCCCGUCACAAGAGUGCUCCUCCAACCGUCUCAACAACAUCAAACUCGAACCGAAACUUUGGGUUGCCACUGGGGCCAACAAACAAGGGAAUAUAAUACCAGGAUAGUGAUGAUCUUUUUGUAAUAAGUGGCAUAUGUCCUCAUGUGCAUCGUGUAAACCAAAGUCUAUUCCCUUACUCGGAUGAGGCAAAUCUUAAUCGGAUGAGGCAAAUCUUAUCCUUUGUUCUUCA